Paenibacillus sp. FSL A5-0031 is the source of this 269-nucleotide non-coding RNA. Lineage: Bacteria; Bacillati; Bacillota; Bacilli; Caryophanales; Paenibacillaceae. The record is from Rfam.
CCGUGCUAGAUGGGGAGGUAGCGGUGCCCUGUAACUCGCAAUCCGCUGUAGCGAGGUUGAAUUCCUACUUGAGGUUAUACUGAUGUAGGGUCUUGGCACUUGCGAGCAGUGUUGACAGUUGGGUCCUCCGCAAUGGACGUUUAUGAACUUGGUCAGGUCCGGAAGGAAGCAGCCAUAAGUAAAUUAGUUCAUGUGCCGGGGGAGUGCCUGACUCGAGCUGUAGUGCAAGGAUGUCGCCUGGGUCGUAUUUAUCAGGAGUAGGUGCACGG